GGGAGCUUGCUCCUGGAUUAGUGGCGAACGGGUGAGUAACACGUGAGUAACCUGCCCUUAACUCUGGGAUAAGCCUGGGAAACUGGGUCUAAUACCGGAUAUGACUCCUCAUCGCAUGGUGGGGGGUGGAAAGCUUUUUGUGGUUUUGGAUGGACUCGCGGCCUAUCAGCUUGUUGGUGAGGUAAUGGCUUACCAAGGCGACGACGGGUAGCCGGCCUGAGAGGGUGACCGGCCACACUGGGACUGAAACACGGCCCAGACUCCUACGGGAGGCAGCAGUGGGGAAUAUUGCACAAUGGGCGAAAGCCUGAUGCAGCGACGCCGCGUGAGGGAUGACGGCCUUCGGGUUGUAAACCUCUUUCAGUAGGGAAGAAGCGAAAGUGACGGUACCUGCAGAAAAAGCGCCGGCUAACUACGUGCCAGCAGCCGCGGUAAUACGUAGGGCGCAAGCGUUAUCCGGAAUUAUUGGGCGUAAAGAGCUCGUAAGCGGUUUGUCGCGUCUGCCGUGAAAGUCCGGGGCUCAACUCCGGAUCUGCGGUGGGUACGGGCAGACUAAAGUGAUGUAGGGGAGACUGGAAUUCCUGGUGUAGCGGUGAAAUGCGCAGAUAUCAAGAGGAACACCGA
Molecule: ribosomal RNA, 624 nt
Filed under: Pseudarthrobacter scleromae
Lineage: Bacteria; Bacillati; Actinomycetota; Actinomycetes; Micrococcales; Micrococcaceae
Description: bacterial SSU rRNA
Rfam family: Bacterial small subunit ribosomal RNA
Source: RNAcentral